GAUGAACGCUGGCGGCGUGCCUAAUACAUGCAAGUCGAGCGAACGGACGAGAAGCUUGCUUCUCUGAUGUUAGCGGCGGACGGGUGAGUAACACGUGGACAACCUACCUAUAAGACUGGGAUAACUUCGGGAAACCGGAGCUAAUACCGGAUAAUAUUUUGAACCGCAUGGUUCGAAAGUGAAAGACGGUCUUGCUGUCACUUAUAGAUGGAUCCGCGCUGCAUUAGCUAGUUGGUAAGGUAACGGCUUACCAAGGCAACGAUGCAUAGCCGACCUGAGAGGGUGAUCGGCCACACUGGAACUGAGACACGGUCCAGACUCCUACGGGAGGCAGCAGUAGGGAAUCUUCCGCAAUGGGCGAAAGCCUGACGGAGCAACGCCGCGUGAGUGAUGAAGGUCUUCGGAUCGUAAAACUCUGUUAUUAGGGAAGAACAUAUGUGUAAGUAACUGUGCACAUCUUGACGGUACCUAAUCAGAAAGCCACGGCUAACUACGUG
RNAcentral lists this ribosomal RNA (497 nucleotides) under uncultured bacterium. Its description in RNAcentral is "partial 16S ribosomal RNA". It matches the Rfam family "Bacterial small subunit ribosomal RNA", at positions 28 to 507 of the family's 1533-position model. The record is from RNAcentral.